GUGGGGAAUCUUGCGCAAUGGGCGAAAGCCUGACGCAGCCAUGCCGCGUGAAUGAUGAAGGUCUUAGGAUUGUAAAAUUCUUUCACCGGGGACGAUAAUGACGGUACCCGGAGAAGAAGCCCCGGCUAACUUCGUGCCAGCAGCCGCGGUAAUACGAAGGGGGCUAGCGUUGCUCGGAAUUACUGGGCGUAAAGGGCGCGUAGGCGGACAGUUUAGUCAGAGGUGAAAGCCCAGGGCUCAACCUUGGAAUUGCCUUUGAUACUUGCUGUCUUGAGUACGGGAGAGGUGAGUGGAACUCCGAGUGUAGAGAUGAAAUUCGUAGAUAUUCGGAAGAACACCAGUGGCGAAGGCGACUCACUGGCCCGUUACUGACGCUGAGGCGCGAAAGCGUGGGGAGCAAACAGGAUUAGAUACCCUAGUAGUCC
This 425-nucleotide ribosomal RNA is filed under the name uncultured bacterium. RNAcentral's name for it is "partial 16S ribosomal RNA". It matches the Rfam family "Bacterial small subunit ribosomal RNA", at positions 354 to 796 of the family's 1533-position model. The record is from RNAcentral.